CAGCUUGUUGCCAGUGAUGGAGUCUUAGUUGAAUUGAAUAUGCAUGAUUUCACUCAACAUAUCGUCACUACCACUGAGGCAACUGUAUG
Molecule: small nucleolar RNA, 89 nt
Organism: Bombina bombina (fire-bellied toad)
Lineage: Eukaryota; Metazoa; Chordata; Amphibia; Anura; Bombinatoridae
Product: small nucleolar RNA SNORD70
Exons: 1
Source: RefSeq, a predicted model, not a curated record